UACGGAGGGUGCAAGCGUUAUUCGGAAUUACUGGGCGUAAAGCGCACGCAGGCGGCUGAGUCAGUCGAUUGUGAAAGCCCUGGGCUUAACCUGGGAAUUGCAGUCGAUACUACUCAGCUAGAGUAUGGGAGAGGGCAGUGGAAUUCCCGGUGUAGCGGUGAAAUGCGUAGAUAUCGGGAGGAACAUCAGUGGCGAAGGCGGCUGCCUGGCCCAAUACUGACGCUCAGGUGCGACAGCGUGGGGAGCAAACAGG
Molecule: ribosomal RNA, 253 nt
Filed under: uncultured bacterium
Lineage: Bacteria
Description: partial 16S ribosomal RNA
Rfam family: Bacterial small subunit ribosomal RNA
Source: RNAcentral